This is a non-coding RNA of Pelobates cultripes (western spadefoot toad), 1545 nucleotides long. The record is from the annotation of a GenBank genome assembly. Lineage: Eukaryota; Metazoa; Chordata; Amphibia; Anura; Pelobatidae.
AUAUUAUAUAAAAUUAAUGAGAUCACCUUUUUAUUUGAUAACCAAUUUAUUACUCCAUCGUCACAUUUGGUUCCUUUCUCCAUUCUAUUAACAAUAAAUUGGUUGUGCUUGUUUUAUUAUCACAGAAUAGUGUUGGAGUUGAGAUAGCUAUCACGUCACAUUAAUAUAUAAUAAACAUUAUCUUUUGCUGUAUUAUCGAUCAAUGUAUACCAUUUUAAUUGCUCCUCAAAAGCAGUGUGGCACGUUUAAAACAUUUUGCUAUUUUCAAUGUUCUAUAACACACUUUCUUUUGCUAAAGCAAAACAUAGACAAUGAUUGCGUGUGAUUGAUAAGUUUAGGAAGAAGUGUACAAAAGAUGUACAGGAAGACAGUAAUUUUAAUUUUCAGUUUUUUUUUUCUCACAAUUAAUGUAAACUACAUUUGUGUAAAUUAUUUGAACAUGAUAUAUAUUAAGUGACUAAACAAAAACAAAAACAAAACAAAACAUGGUUAUCUGCAGAAAGGAAUGUUUGCAUGUGGGUUCUUAUUGCAAUAUGCUAUUUGUCACAGGACAUCCUAAGCAAACAGCAGUAAAUACAAAAUGGUCAUUGAAUAUGCACGUUCCAAUUUCUUAAAAUUACUGUCCCUUGAAUUAAAUAAACAGAGUGUUUUGUUAACUCCCCUGAUUUAGAAAUGUCUUGUGAAUUUACAGUGGACCUGCCACCUUUGAAAUGUACGAUUCAUCAAUUUUACCUUCAGAAACUGACUAUGCAAUUAUCUAUAUACAUAUAUGCAAUGGAUAUAUAUAUAAUUAUUAUUUAAGAAUUGUUAUAGAGCAGGGGGGCCAAAAAAGUAGAACUACAAUUCCCAUGAUGCUUUGCAUACCUUUAGAAUGUCUUUAGAAUGACAAAACAUCAUGGAACAGUAGUUUUAAAACAUCUACCUUUUGGGCACCCUAGUUAUAGAGUAAAAAGGUAUCUGACAAUCAGAAUAUUGUAUUCCCUUACACUUUCACCAUUGCUAAAAUAAUGGGACUGUAGUUACCAUUGAGGCAGGAGUAUACAAAGGAAGGAAAUAUUAUGGUUUUGUUGUCCUAAACACUUUGGAUAGGCUUAUGGUGCUGGGGAAACCUAUGUCUUUUUUUUUUCAAACCUCUUGAAAACGGCUUGACAAAACCUGAAUAGAUUCUACCCAUAGCUUCUUUGCACCAUAAUCUGUUCAAUAAUUUGUAGUGACUAAGGUGCUUGAAUCAUCACCUUUACAUUUUAUUAAUAUCGGGGGUGCCAACAAUCAAACCCACUAAGGUUGCCAUGUACCCUAGAUACAUCCCUGGUUAGGGGUGAAGAUAAGUUUAUAAGGGGACGUAGACAAGGCAAAGACAUAUUUAAUGCUUGCUGUAGACGUGUGGUCUGCAAUUGUAUGUUAAAAUUACAUGAUAUGACAUUCUUUUGUGGAACAUGCUAGCAAUACAGGAACUAGGUUUGUGCAUUUUAAGUUUAUAUUAACCAUAUUAGGUGUAUAGGAGGGGACAUAGUAUAGCUCUUCCAGGACUGGCAGCUCAUUGCA